AUGACUUUGAUCUCCGUCCUCAUCUGGACUCUCCUCUGCUGCUGCUUCACAGAGUCCAGAGGCCAGAUCACAGUGACUCAGCCUGCAGCAGUGAGAUCUGCUCUGGGAGGAUCUGCAACCAUCAGCUGUACAGUCAGUCAGGAUGUUUACAAUGGUAAAAACUUAGCCUGGUACCAACAGAGAGAUGGAGAAACUCCUAAACUUCUCAUUUACGCUGCUACCACUCGAGUAUCAGGGAUUCCAGGUCGUUUUACAGGCAUUGGAUCAAACUCUGACUUCACUCUGACCAUCAGUGGAGUUCAGGCUGAAGAUGCAGCAGUUUAUUACUGUCAGAGUCUCCACUAUCCCAACAGUCAGUGGGUGUUCACACAGGGAAAAAGCGUCGUAUGA
This is a non-coding RNA of Scomber scombrus (Atlantic mackerel), 390 nucleotides long. The record is from the annotation of a RefSeq genome assembly. Lineage: Eukaryota; Metazoa; Chordata; Actinopteri; Scombriformes; Scombridae.